Molecule: RNA transcript, 4609 nt
Organism: Peromyscus eremicus (cactus mouse)
Lineage: Eukaryota; Metazoa; Chordata; Mammalia; Rodentia; Cricetidae
Gene name: periphilin-1-like
Exons: 2
Source: RefSeq, a predicted model, not a curated record
UGCAAUAUUUCUUCUUUUGAUAUGUCCUUGUCUCUACCUCAGGGCCCUGGACGCCCUGCCUGUUCAGAAGAGACUGUGGAUGUCCCCGAGCCUUGUGGUCCCUGCUUCGGAUGAUGUGGGGCAGCAUCCAUCUGAACGCAUAUCACUACCAAGUCCAAGGUUUUGGAAGGAAGCCCUUCUCCUCUCCCAUCUCAGUAUUAGACCAUCGGACCUUGGGACACGGGACUCAGGCCGCUGACUCUGCAUCCCUCACAAGUGCACAGAGCUGCCUGCCCUUUUGCCUUGUGUCCAUCCUGGAGCGGCCUUCUGCCAGGAGAAUGAAGGUUAAGGAAUCUGAAGAACACUGGACAAAUGAGACAACUGAAGAAAAGGGACAAAUCAUCUAUCCCAGGAAGCAGAGUGAAACGGCGUAUGGGUAUAUAUCUAAAAAAUUUUAUGCCUUCCUAAAUGUUUGUUUCUGCUUUUCUCUAAAGAUUUAACACUAUUGGUCUUCUAAUAGUCCCAGUCCAAUUAAAAUUUAAAGCUGACUUUGGAGUUGGAGAAUGGCUCUCUCCUUCUUUAAACUCAAGCAUGUUGUUAAAAGGAAAAUGCAAACUCCAUGUAUCAUGCCAGAAGAAAAGAGCCAUCUUCUGCUAUGGGACAGGAGAAAAGCCAAAUUAAUUAAAGGACUAUUCUAAUACUAAUCUCAACUCUUUGAUUCUAUUUUGAUUCUUUAAACUUUUCUUAAAGUAUAAAUUUUAUAUCAAAACUUACAAGAUUAAUAUAUAUAUAUAGAUAUAUAGAUAUAUAUACAUUUUAAACUUUGUUAAGAUAUGAAUGGUCAUAUAGAGUACUAAUUAAUUCUAGAAAAAAGGCUUCAAUUAGCUGCAUAUAUAUGUCUUUGUGUUUGAGUCUCUUAUCAGUUUUCUGCCGGAAAUCACAGCCAGGCCUAACAUCAACUGAAGUCUCCAGGAAGAAGUUGGGGCCCCACAACAACAUCAAUUCCACAUGGACAAUAAUAACAUCACUAAGCUGACAAACAUCAUCUACAGAUCAGCUUUGAACUACAAGGUGCUCAGAGCAAUUUUGAGAUGACUAGAUGAGAUGAUGCAGUCUCAAAGACUACUUGAAUAAGGACUUGAGAUAAACCCUGAACUUUGGCAUUAUACACAGAAUGAAUAAUGAAGGAUAUAGUUACCUUUCCUAGAAUUUGACAAUUAACCUAAAAUUUUUCUUUCAGGAUAAAGAUAACUUCACCCACACCCAGCAGGAAGCAAUUUUAAGAAUACGACACACACAUUCUCAAAGAGGUGGUGUGGGGCGGGUGGUUUUUUGGUCUUUUUAAUGGGUUUUGGGUCUGGGAUAAUUUUCAUUGUUUAGGGAGGUUGGUUACAAGUUGUUGUCAAGGGUUAGGAAAAAGGCUAAGCAGAUUAGAUUUAAGGUUCUUGUUUAAAAAAAAAAAGAAAGAAAGAAGGAAAAGACAAUUACUAGUUUUAAAUACUUUACAUUGGAAUGGAUUGUUUUAUAUUGUAUACAAAUUAUAUAUAUUGAAAUUGAUAUUGUUAGAAAAUGCUAUAUGUGUAUUUCUAAUUGUACUUAUACCGUUCAUUUAACAAUGCAGUUUUUGGAUCCUUGAAUGUUAUUAUUACCAACUAUUAGGAUAUAAAGAAAUGAAAGUUAGUAGUUAGACAUUACAAUAGAACUUGUAGUCAUAUUAGAUAUGUUUUAAAAAUUGAGCAGAUAUAUUGUAGAUAGGUCAUCUUCAAACCCUUCAGAGAACUACAGAAUAUGGCAUUUAAAAUGUUUUAAUAACUUAGAAAAUUUUUCUUUUUUGUUAUGACUAUGAGACAUGUCGGCUCCUGGCAGUACCAAUCUACUUCAGAGAAAAUAUGGGCAUUGAAGAAACUGCAUAUGGAGUUAACUUUCAUUGUGGCAAAAGUUAGCCACUGGACAACAAAGUAUCCUUGAAUCAACAGGACAAAAUGGACAUACAGGACAUGAAACAAAGGACUACUGAUUCUUGAUUCUUGCCAAAACAAGUGUGGUUAUGGCUUUAUCAAAAGGCAUCUUCUGAGGCCAGGACAAUAUGGCACCAUCCCUGAAGUGGCCUUCAAAACUCGGAAAAGGUACAGUGCCCUUUUCUUCGAAGGCAGCUGAACAGGCAGUGGGCCGAUGGCUUCUGAUGUGCAAUGGAACAGCAGCUGAAACAGUUAUUCUUGAAGAGUAAUUAAGCUCACGCCUCUCAAUAGUAGACUGGCAUUUGAUAGAGGGAUGUGGAGAAGAAUGGGAUGCUGAGAUGAAGCCAUAUGUACACAGCCAAGAAGAAUGGACAGCUGAAUUAAAAAACCAUCAACAAUUUCCAGAAUUUAAAAUCCUGAAUCAUGACAUGACACUAGUGGAACUCAGGUGUUUCUGGUAUAUGGACUGCUCUCACCCAAUGUGAGGUUGAACUGUUGACCCUGUGUACAUCCUACUUCACAACUGAGUCUGUCAGUUAUGCUAAGCCUAUAGACUGAAGAUGAUGCCCCAACACUGCAGAGAAACCUCAGAUGACUGUCCAAGUAGCUGGAAGUUUCUGUCAACUCAAAAAUUUUUUGGAAGUUGCUUGCAUGCACGUUCAGUUUUUAUUUUUGUUAGCUAAUAUUAUUUCCUUCUUGGGUCUCUGAGGGAGUUGAAGAUUAGUUAGUUAUAGUUGAAGGUUAGUUAGUUAUAGUUGAAGAUUAAUUAGGAUAGAAAGUGAAUUAGAUACAUUUUGGACUUAACAAAAUAGGAUAAUGAAAUUAUUAUCUCUGAAUUUGUCAAAUACAAAUGGACUACACAUUGUUUAGACAUUUAUUAUUUGUAUAUAUUAUAUAUAGUUAUUGUACAUUUGUAUAUAGUUUUUCUUUUGUUAGUUAUAACCUUUUUCUUAUUAAAUGUAAAAUACUGAUCCUCAUUCAACAAGGUACUAGAAGGUACUCUCCAAGUUAGGCAACCUGCUUUCUAUGGGUGCAACAAAAGCAUGUUGAAGUUCAAAGAUGGUUUUAAGCACAGCUCCCUACUUCCAAUUCUGUGAGCAGAUUCAGCCCACAGAACAGGUAUUCAGAGGCCUGCCCCUGGAUCCAGGGAGUGUCAAGUACCACAAGGGACCUCAGAGGACAGGGAUUCUACAGACAGGUUCCCACCCAGACCAGAGGAGGACCCACCACACUGUAUCCUCCACCUCACCAUCUGCUCCACUCCAUCUGGGGACAGCAGCUUCUCAUUCACCAUGUCAUGGUUUCCCAGCUCAGUCAUGCUGUCUGCUCAGCUCACUGCAGCAGCACUCACAGCACACCACACCACACAAAACUGCUGGUGCCAGCUCCUCUUCAAAGAAAAGUCUGAAGCCUGGGGCAGCAGGAGGAACCCUGCACCACUUUUGACUGGCAGGCCACCUGGAGAACCUGAUUGGCUAAUGAGACCUGAGUGACAAGACCACAUCCCAUAGGGUCACAAUGUGUUUAAAAAUACAGCACAAUUGUUCCUGUCCCUCCCUUCCACCCCAGACAAAGACUUUUUCUAGAUCAGCAGAGAUAUGCAUAUCAAUAACACUUGCCCCUGGCUGCAAAAGUAAACCCUGCUCUCUUCCUGCUCUCCUUAGGCACUUCCCCUUCUUCCUCCUGGAAAGAAUGUGGUUAGCUAGAUGUACAGACCACUAUACUAUGUAGGGUGGAGUGAUUCCCUGUGACACAGGUAGUAGGGUGCCCAGAAUAUUAACAACAAAAAAGAUACUUAAAGAUACACAAGGAGUGUUUGUUGUGUGACUUCACACUGACAUCACAUGAACUGAAGGUAUUUUUUCCCUGCUAGUCACUGGGACUUCAGACAACCAGCAAAGAAAAGCAGGAACUAGAUCACACACAAGAUAAUAGGUCUUUCUCCCAUCAGAAAGUUGGAUGUUGGUUCCAUUGCUUAAGGAGUUUUAUUCCUGAAAUUUAGAGGAAACAGUUGGAAAAUUAAAUAAUAAUGAAGAGUAGCCUUCAUGGAAAGCUGAAUACUUAGAGAAUAAUGGAGCUAUGAAGAAUUCAUUUAUGAGCACCAUUGUUAGCCAGUACAUGUUCCUUCCUGGGCAGGUGAAAAAAGAAGACAACUGUAUUGUUCAAGCUUUUCUACAUAAUCAGGACUGGUAGAAUGAAUCUCUCCAUUAAUGCAGAAAAUUGAUUUCAUAGAAUGUCUUACAAGCAUGCAGUAUGGGAAGGAGAUCCUUUUAACUAGCCCUACCUGCUGUCUGUCUCAGGGCUGGAAGAUCAUUGCAGAGAAUUCCAUUUUUUAAGCUUUAUUUUAUUUUAUGUAUAUGGGUGUUUGCCUCCAGGAGUCUGUGCAGAGUUCUUGCAGAGGCCAGGAGAGAGUUACAGGAGAUUGUUAGGUAUAAUGGAACCUGUGUCCUAUGUAACAACACCUGGUGCUGCUUUUAACUGUUAAACUAUCUCCCUAGGACACUUCUUUAAUUAAAAUUUAUUUUCAUAUAUUUUAAUUGAUAUGUAUGAAAUCAAUUUCCCAUUCCUUGUCCUCUCUCCAUCCCUUCCCAAAUUUUGCCCUUUUAAUUUUUUCCUUGUUAUGCAUGGGAGACUCUUAUGCACAAAGAUAUGAAUAAAUCCUGCUGAGUCCA